Non-coding RNA from Pelodiscus sinensis (Chinese soft-shelled turtle), 1796 nucleotides. The record is from RefSeq and is a predicted model, not a curated record. Lineage: Eukaryota; Metazoa; Chordata; Testudines; Trionychidae.
GUGAAUGCAGUGAGCAGCGAACAGGGAGCGCCAACAGGGGAGUUUGCCUGGGAAACAUUCGAGAGGAGCUCAGAUUACUGAGGUUCAAAUCAUGCAGUCAGACAUGCCAGAAAAGACAACAAUGCUGACUGAGUUAAACCUCCUGUAUAACACAAAUCCACCAUGCAUAGCCAUUUCCAAACUGUGAGCUAUGAGGAACUGGAUAGUGGUCUUCAGAGAGCUCAAUCACAUGGUGCUGACCUUCUCAAUUCCCCGUUGCCCCCACCUGACAUAGCUGGAAGCAAAGAGGAACCAGUUAAAUGCAAAGACAGGAAAAACAGGAGCUACCAUCACAAACUAAUAUAGCAGCGGCUGUAGCUGUUAUCCCCUCAUUGUGAGAGGAAUGUUCCAAAGAAUAAAGGAGAAGGAAAUGAGGCAGAUGGGAAUCAUGGCCAAGGAAGAAGGAACCAAGGACCAAGGAAGUGGGUAGAAAGAGGAGUACCAUUCAAAAACCAAAGGAUGUAAAAGGAAAAAGUAGAAGAGAACUUAUAGGAGAAAAGUAGCAGGGGGAGAGACAGGACAAUGUGAAAGGAAAAGGAAAAGAAGACACUGUGAUUAACUUUUUUUCUAAAAGGAUCUAACACUUGUAUCUCUGAAGACAAUGCAAGUACAUUCGCACUUACCAGUUACCACUCUGCAUGGUCAGUGCCUGCUUUAUCUUCCCCAAAGAUGUUAUGUGUAUUUGUAAAUGGGAAUAGAAGUGCUCUAUAAGUCUACAUCUAGACAGUGGGUCUAUUUCAGGAUACUGGAAGUAUCCCAAAAUAGCAAUUCCGUGUCUUUAAAUGUGCCCUUUAUUUCAAAAUAUAUUUUGCAUAGAGCAAAUUGCAUAGCUUACUUUGAGAUUUGAGUGCUGUGUAGAUGCGCCCUAUGAGAAGAAGACUGACUCUGAUUUUCUUUAGAGGGUGUAAAUCCACAGUAAUGCCACUGUAAAACAAGUGUCCAUGAAAGACAGACAAGGGAAAAUCUAUUAAGGAGCAAUCACCCUAUAAAAAAUGUUGAGAACUUACACCUAGUACACAUGUGUUGUUAAAUAGUAUUUUGGUAGACUUUCACAUUCUACAAAUACUUAUUUGGGAAUGUAUACCCAGACCCUUGACAUUUUAAAAUUACAUUUUUAAGAAGGAAAAUCCAUAGGCUAGCUAUUGCUCUAACAGGAAAAUAACGUAAUGUAUAACAUUUCACCUACAUACUACAAAAGUGAUUCUUCAAUAUUUUUUGUAAAAAAAAAUGAAAGACUAAUAAAACUUCCAGUUUUCAAAUAAUCCAGCACACUUGUCAAAAUACUCUCUGACUUCCAGACCUCCCACUUUGAUAUAAUUAACUUGAAUGAGCUUCUCUUCAUCAUGAAGACAAAGGUGGGAAAAGUGAUGUAACUGUAAUCCAUCUAGCACAGGUUUUGUACAACCUCUUUCUUAUAACUGACUUCACUCACUGAUUAAUAGACACUUUCCACUUCAGACCUUAAUUAAAAACUAUAAAAGCAGUCAGCUGUAGGCCAUGAAUGUGCUGGUGACAAAAAAAAGUGCCAUUUUAUUGUAAGAAGAUCAAGCACUGUACAAAUUUAGUGUGAAACCAUGUUAAGUAUGUCCAUAUGCCUGAAUUAAGUGCAAUUCUGAGAUUUACUUGGUUUCAAUGGGAAUACUAAGAAUAAAAUAUCCAUUAAAAUCAGAUAAAAUGGACUUUAAUUCAGAGGACAUCUAAGGUACGUCUACACAGCAGCGUUAUUUCAGAAUAACUUCACUUAUUCCAAAAUAAUG